UACGAAGGGGGCGAGCGUUUGUUCGGAUUUACUGGGCGUAAAGAGUGUGUAGGCGGUGUUCUAAGUUUGUCGUGAAAUCUCCCGGCUUAACUGGGAGGGUGCGGCGAAAACUGGAAUGCUAGAGGAUGGGAGAGGUAAGCGGAAUUCCUGGUGUAGCGGUGAAAUGCGUAGAUAUCAGGAGGAACACCUGUGGUGUAGACAGCUUACUGGACCAUUUCUGACGCUGAGACACGAAAGCGUGGGUAGCAAACAGG
Molecule: ribosomal RNA, 254 nt
Filed under: uncultured bacterium
Lineage: Bacteria
Description: partial 16S ribosomal RNA
Rfam family: Bacterial small subunit ribosomal RNA
Source: RNAcentral